UUUUAUGGAGAGUUUGAUCCUGGCUCAGGAUGAACGCUGGCGGCGUGCCUAAUACAUGCAAGUCGAGCGAACGGAUGAGAAGCUUGCUUCUCUGAUGUUAGCGGCGGACGGGUGAGUAACACGUGGAUAACCUACCUAUAAGACUGGGAUAACUUCGGGAAACCGGAGCUAAUAC
This 175-nucleotide ribosomal RNA is filed under the name Staphylococcus aureus. RNAcentral's name for it is "partial 16S ribosomal RNA". It matches the Rfam family "Bacterial small subunit ribosomal RNA", at positions 1 to 169 of the family's 1533-position model. The record is from RNAcentral. Lineage: Bacteria; Bacillati; Bacillota; Bacilli; Caryophanales; Staphylococcaceae.